UAAGAGGGAACCCGGCGAGAGUCCGGGACUGCCCCGCAGCGGUAUGUGGGAACGACCGCCGUCAGGAGCACUGGGCGCGCGACGGCGCGCCUGGGAAGCGACGGCCAGUAGGUCCGUCGGCGCCACCGGUGCCGACGGGAGCCCACGAGUCCGAAGACCU
RNAcentral lists this non-coding RNA (160 nucleotides) under Frankia sp. The record is from RNAcentral. Lineage: Bacteria; Bacillati; Actinomycetota; Actinomycetes; Frankiales; Frankiaceae.